This 24-nucleotide small nuclear RNA is filed under the name Arabidopsis thaliana (thale cress). RNAcentral's name for it is "snRNA_01667". Lineage: Eukaryota; Viridiplantae; Streptophyta; Magnoliopsida; Brassicales; Brassicaceae. The record is from RNAcentral.
AAAAGCCUUUGGUUUUAAAGAUAA